This is a non-coding RNA of Cinara cedri, 943 nucleotides long. Lineage: Eukaryota; Metazoa; Arthropoda; Insecta; Hemiptera; Aphididae. The record is from the annotation of a GenBank genome assembly.
UAUUAUUAUUUAAACUUUGUUAAUUUUGCAAAUCAGUUAAAAAUAUUCGUAAUGAUUUAAAAUUUGGACAAAAAACCUAUAUUUGCCUUUUCUAGACAUGUUAAGAUUUUUAAAAAAUAGAGAGCAUUUUUGAGCCAUUUAUGGACUUUUUAAUUUUGAGAGUUUUGUAUGAAAUUUUUAUUCGGUAAGUACUCUAUAGUCAAUUAUUGGACAUAACAGAAAUGCUUGAAAAUUCAACAAGGUAUUCAUUAAAAGACUUACUUUGUGGUAAAAAAAGACGUCCUAGGAUAAUGGAGAUGAGUACAACCACUGUUGUAGAUAAUUUUACGUUUAACGAUAAACCGUUGCUAACGAAAAAACGAUUCUGAGCGCAUUUCAGUUCAUAGUGAUGCUUUGUCAACAAUUUAUUUGUCAUAUUAUGGUAAAAUAAUUAAAUAGGCAUUAUAUAGUUGUAUAAUAUUGUUAAUAUUUGUUAAAUAUUGUCUCGAUUUUCCCCUUUUUCCUGCGUUUAUCCCGGUUUUUCUCAUUUACUGGGAAAACUCUUGAGAAAAUUGAAAUUGACCUCCCUAAAAUACCUCUACAGUCAGAUUUACUUUCAGAAAAAGUGCUAUCGUUUUAAAUCGAAACAAACUUGCUGGUAAAAGAGGUGUACACGGAAAAAAAGGCCAAUUUUUUUACUAAUACCUACAUUUCGUACAUUUUCCGUUUUUCCGACUUUUUAUCCAAGUUUUCCCCAGAUAUUAUGAAAAUCGCUUGAAACAUCAAAACAUUACCUCCCAGAGGAAAAACUCCCUUUUAGAAAAUAAGCUACAAUUGAUACAUCGUAGCAAGAUUUCUGGUAGAAAAGUUUGCACAACAAAUCGUGAGGUAUUUUACGAUUAAAAUAGUCUGAGUGAGCGAUGGCUGUGUCUCUACUUUUCUCAGUGUACACCCAAAAUGUAUU